CAGCCGCCGCGGUAAUACCGGCGGCCCGAGUGGCGGCCACUAUUAUUGGGCUUAAAGCGUCCGUAGCCGGGUUGGGUAGUCUCCCGGGAAAUCUGGCCGCUUAACGGUCAGAAUUCCGGGAGAUACUGCCAGCCUAGGGACCGGGAGAGGCCGAGGGUAUUCCCGGAGUAGGGGUGAAAUCCUAUAAUCCCGGGAGGACCACCUGUGGCGAAGGCGCUCGGCUGGAACGGGUCCGACGGUGAGGGACGAAGGCCAGGGGAGCAAACCGGAUUAGAUACCCGGGUAGUCCUGGCUGUAAACGAUGCGGACUUUGUGUCGGACAAGCUAUGAGCUUGUCCGGUGCCGGAGGGAAACCGUUAAGUCCGCCGCCUGGGGAGUACGCCCGCAAGGGUGAAACUUAAAGGAAUUGGCGGG
RNAcentral lists this ribosomal RNA (414 nucleotides) under uncultured microorganism. RNAcentral's name for it is "bacterial SSU rRNA". It matches the Rfam family "Archaeal small subunit ribosomal RNA", at positions 459 to 872 of the family's 1478-position model. The record is from RNAcentral.